This 796-nucleotide ribosomal RNA is filed under the name Rahnella aquatilis. RNAcentral's name for it is "bacterial SSU rRNA". It matches the Rfam family "Bacterial small subunit ribosomal RNA", at positions 93 to 885 of the family's 1533-position model. The record is from RNAcentral. Lineage: Bacteria; Pseudomonadati; Pseudomonadota; Gammaproteobacteria; Enterobacterales; Yersiniaceae.
GAGCGGCGGACGGGUGAGUAAUGUCUGGGAAACUGCCUGAUGGAGGGGGAUAACUACUGGAAACGGUAGCUAAUACCGCAUGACCUCNAAAGAGCAAAGUGGGGGAUCUUCGGACCUCACGCCAUCGGAUGUGCCCAGAUGGGAUUAGCUAGUAGGUGAGGUAAUGGCUCACCUAGGCGACGAUCCCUAGCUGGUCUGAGAGGAUGACCAGCCACACUGGAACUGAGACACGGUCCAGACUCCUACGGGAGGCAGCAGUGGGGAAUAUUGCACAAUGGGCGCAAGCCUGAUGCAGCCAUGCCGCGUGUGUGAAGAAGGCCUUAGGGUUGUAAAGCACUUUCAGCGAGGAGGAAGGCAUCAUACUUAAUACGUGUGGUGAUUGACGUUACUCGCAGAAGAAGCACCGGCUAACUCCGUGCCAGCAGCCGCGGUAAUACGGAGGGUGCAAGCGUUAAUCGGAAUUACUGGGCGUAAAGCGCACGCAGGCGGUUUGUUAAGUCAGAUGUGAAAUCCCCGCGCUUAACGUGGGAACUGCAUUUGAAACUGGCAAGCUAGAGUCUUGUAGAGGGGGGUAGAAUUCCAGGUGUAGCGGUGAAAUGCGUAGAGAUCUGGAGGAAUACCGGUGGCGAAGGCGGCCCCCUGGACAAAGACUGACGCUCAGGUGCGAAAGCGUGGGGAGCAAACAGGAUUANAUACCCUGGUAGUCCACGCUGUAAACGAUGUCNACUUGGAGGUUGUGCCCUUGAGGCGUGGCUUCCGGAGCUAACGCGUUAANUCNACCGCCUGGGGAGUACGC